RNAcentral lists this long non-coding RNA (582 nucleotides) under Nicotiana benthamiana. Its description in RNAcentral is "long non-coding RNA (NBEN_LNC006260)". Lineage: Eukaryota; Viridiplantae; Streptophyta; Magnoliopsida; Solanales; Solanaceae. The record is from RNAcentral.
UCCCAACAGGUCUGGGUAGAUGUCCAAAAGGAUUAUAAUGAACAUUUAAGAUGAAAACGGGACAUAAAAAUGAGGAUAGAAACGACUUGGGGACUUAUACAAGUCAAUGCCUCUAAGGGAACAUUUUCCGAGUUCAUAUCAAAUAUAUUUUGUUUCAAACUAUCAAAGCACGUGAUUACUAUACUCUAAGGGAACUUAUUCGUGGGCCUCUGACCCUUUCAGCUAUUAUAUAGAACAAGUGUUGGGACCUUUGAAACAUUCCAAUCGAACUUCCCAUAGAAGUUACUAAUCUUAUUCUUUCUACCAUUCACUAAAAACAAUCAGGACUGCUUCUACUGGAACUUGAAGGAAUGGAUCCUUUAGCACAAAACACCUAUCAAUACAGUCACCAGUGGAUCUAGAAAGGCAAUUGCCUCAAUAAGCAUAAAUUCUUCCUUUGGCUCCUACUCCAUGAUCGACUGCCUACUCGCAGUAUGCUCCACCAAAGAAACAUAACAGCUAUAAGAUCCCCAUUGCUCGCACUACAAUACUACUGUUACUUUCCAUAUAUACAAAACUUGUCACGUGUGGUCUGUCUUCUCC